This 69-nucleotide transfer RNA is filed under the name Goggia incognita. RNAcentral's name for it is "tRNA-Tyr". The record is from RNAcentral. Lineage: Eukaryota; Metazoa; Chordata; Lepidosauria; Squamata; Gekkonidae.
CCUGAUAGCAAGUGCUAUAGCACUGUCUGCGGGGCUACAACUCGCCGCUUACUACUCAGCCAUACUACC